GAGAAGCUUCGACUAAGGUUCGACUUGAGCGCCAGCGAGAGAGCGUUGCCGCAGGCAACGACCCGAAGGGCGAAGCGCGCAGCGCUGAGUAAUCCUUCCCCCACCACCA
RNAcentral lists this small RNA (109 nucleotides) under Escherichia coli. RNAcentral describes it as "partial RtT sRNA". It matches the Rfam family "RtT RNA", at positions 24 to 130 of the family's 130-position model. From Rfam's summary of the family: This family represents a bacterial cis-regulatory element known as RtT RNA. The exact function of RtT is unknown although it is thought that it may be involved in changing the cellular response in relation to amino acid starvation. The record is from RNAcentral. Lineage: Bacteria; Pseudomonadati; Pseudomonadota; Gammaproteobacteria; Enterobacterales; Enterobacteriaceae.